CAGUAGCCACGGUAAUACGUAGGUCCCGAGCGUUGUCCGGAUUUAUUGGGCGUAAAGCGAGCGCAGGCGGUUGGAUAAGUCUGAAGUUAAAGGCUGUGGCUUAACCAUAGUACGCUUUGGAAACUGUUUAACUUGAGUGCAAGAGGGGAGAGUGGAAUUCCAUGUGUAGCGGUGAAAUGCGUAGAUAUAUGGAGGAACACCGGUGGCGAAAGCGGCUCUCUGGCUUGUAACUGACGCUGAGGCUCGAAAGCGUGGGGAGCAAACAGGAUUAGAUACCCGCGUAGUCCCUGUCUCUUAUACA
This 301-nucleotide ribosomal RNA is filed under the name uncultured bacterium. RNAcentral's name for it is "partial 16S ribosomal RNA". It matches the Rfam family "Bacterial small subunit ribosomal RNA", at positions 509 to 808 of the family's 1533-position model. The record is from RNAcentral.